UUCUUUUUUCAUUACUUCUUA
This 21-nucleotide non-coding RNA is filed under the name Caenorhabditis elegans. Lineage: Eukaryota; Metazoa; Nematoda; Chromadorea; Rhabditida; Rhabditidae. The record is from RNAcentral.